UUUUGUAUAAUGGGUCAGCGACUCACUAUUCUGUUUUAAGGUUAACCGUAUAGGGGAGCCGCAGGGAAACCGAGUCUUAACUGGGCGUUAAGUUGCAGGGUAUAGACCCGAAACCCGGUGAUCUAGCCAUGGGCAGGUUGAAGGUUGGGUAACACUAACUGGAGGACCGAACCGACUAAUGUUGAAAAAUUAGCGGAUGACUUGUGGCUGGGGGUGAAAGGCCAAUCAAACCGGGAGAUAGCUGGUUCUCCCCGAAAGCUAUUUAGGUAGCGCCUCGUGAACUCAUCUUCGGGGGUAGAGCACUGUUUCGGCUAGGGGGUCAUCCCGACUUACCAACCCGAUGCAAACUACGAAUACCGAAGAAUGUUAUCACGGGAGACACACGGCGGGUGCUAACGUCCGUCGUGAAGAGGGAAACAACCCAGACCGCCAGCUAAGGUCCCAAAGUCAUGGUUAAGUGGGAAACGAUGUGGGAAGGCACAGACAGCCAGGAUGUUGGCUUAGAAGCAGCCAUCAUUUAAAGAAAGCGUAAUAGCUCACUGGUCGAGUCGGCCUGCGCGGAAGAUGUAACGGGGCUAAACCAUGCACCGAAGCUGCGGCAGCGACACUAUGUGUUGUUGGGUAGGGGAGCGUUCUGUAAGCCUGCGAAGGUGGCCUGUGAGGGUUGCUGGAGGUAUCAGAAGUGCGAAUGCUGACAUAAGUAACGAUAAAGCGGGUGAAAAGCCCGCUCGCCGGAAGACCAAGGGUUCCUGUCCAACGUUAAUCGGGGCAGGGUGAGUCGACCCCUAAGGCGAGGCCGAAAGGCGUAGUCGAUGGGAAACAGGUUAAUAUUCCUGUACUUGGUGUUACUGCGAAGGGGGGACGGAGAAGGCUAUGUUAGCCGGGCGACGGUUGUCCCGGUUUAAGCAUGUAGGCGGAGGUUCCAGGUAAAUCCGGUACCUUUUAACGCUGAGGUGUGAUGACGAGGCACUACGGUGCUGAAGUAACAAAUGCCCUGCUUCCAGGAAAAGCCUCUAAGCAUCAGGUAACAUUAAAUCGUACCCCAAACCGACACAGGUGGUCAGGUAGAGAAUACCAAGGCGCUUGAGAGAACUCGGGUGAAGGAACUAGGCAAAAUGGUGCCGUAACUUCGGGAGAAGGCACGCUGGUGUGUAGGUGAAGUCCCUGCGGAUGGAGCUGAGACCAGUCGAAGAUACCAGCUGGCUGCAACUGUUUAUUAAAAACACAGCACUGUGCAAACACGAAAGUGGACGUAUACGGUGUGACGCCUGCCCGGUGCCGGAAGGUUAAUUGAUGGGGUUAUCCGUAAGGAGAAGCUCUUGAUCGAAGCCCCGGUAAACGGCGGCCGUAACUAUAACGGUCCUAAGGUAGCGAAAUUCCUUGUCGGGUAAGUUCCGACCUGCACGAAUGGCGUAAUGAUGGCCAGGCUGUCUCCACCCGAGACUCAGUGAAAUUGAACUCGCUGUGAAGAUGCAGUGUACCCGCGGCAAGACGGAAAGACCCCGUGAACCUUUACUAUAGCUUGACACUGAACAUUGAGCCUUGAUGUGUAGGAUAGGUGGGAGGCUUUGAAGCGUGGACGCCAGUCUGCGUGGAGCCAACCUUGAAAUACCACCCUUUAAUGUUUGAUGUUCUAACGUAGGCCCCUUAUCGGGGUUGCGGACAGUGUCUGGUGGGUAGUUUGACUGGGGCGGUCUCCUCCCAAAGAGUAACGGAGGAGCACGAAGGUUAGCUAAUCCUGGUCGGACAUCAGGAGGUUAGUGCAAUGGCAUAAGCUAGCUUGACUGCGAGCGUGACGGCGCGAGCAGGUGCGAAAGCAGGUCAUAGUGAUCCGGUGGUUCUGAAUGGAAGGGCCAUCGCUCAACGGAUAAAAGGUACUCCGGGGAUAACAGGCUGAUACCGCCCAAGAGUUCAUAUCGACUGGCGUUUUGGCCCUCGAUUUCGCUCAUCCAUCCUGGGGCUGAAGUAUGUCCCAGGGUAUGGCUGUCGCCAUUUAACGUGU
This 2002-nucleotide ribosomal RNA is filed under the name human gut metagenome. RNAcentral describes it as "bacterial LSU rRNA". It matches the Rfam family "Bacterial large subunit ribosomal RNA", at positions 606 to 2596 of the family's 2925-position model. The record is from RNAcentral.